CGUGAAAAUUCGAGGCUCAACCUCGAACUUGCGGUGGGUACGGGCAGACUAGAGUGUGGUAGGGGAGACUGGAAUUCCUGGUGUAGCGGUGAAAUGCGCAGAUAUCAGGAGGAACACCGAUGGCGAAGGCAGGUCUCUGGGCCACUACUGACGCUGAGAAGCGAAAGCAUGGGGAGCGAACAGGAUUAGAUACCCUGGUAGUCCAUGCCGUAAACGUUGGGAACUAGGUGUGGGUCUCAUUCCACGAGAUCCGUGCCGCAGCUAACGCAUUAAGUUCCCCGCCUGGGGAGUACGGCCGCAAGGCUAAAACUCAAAGGAAUUGACGGGGGCCCGCACAAGCGGCGGAGCAUGCGGAUUAAUUCGAUGCAACGCGAAGAACCUUACCAAGGCUUGACAUAUGCGAGAACGCGGCAGAGAUGUCGUUCUCUUUGGACACUCGCAUACAGGUGGUGCAUGGUUGUCGUCAGCUCGUGUCGUGAGAUGUUGGGUUAAGUCCCGCAACGAGCGCAACCCUCGUUCUAUGUUGCCAGCACGUGAUGGUGGGGACUCAUAGGAGACUGCCGGG
RNAcentral lists this ribosomal RNA (565 nucleotides) under Salmonella enterica. Its description in RNAcentral is "bacterial SSU rRNA". It matches the Rfam family "Bacterial small subunit ribosomal RNA", at positions 593 to 1156 of the family's 1533-position model. The record is from RNAcentral. Lineage: Bacteria; Pseudomonadati; Pseudomonadota; Gammaproteobacteria; Enterobacterales; Enterobacteriaceae.